UGGCGGGAGCGGUGAUUCCCGGACCCGGCUCGCGAGUCCGCGGCACCGGGCGGGUGGUCCCUGCGGGCGCGCCGGGGCCGCUCCCCCGCCGUGAGCCGUGGCCCUCGGACCGCGGCGAGCCUGGUACGACCUCUAAAGGCGUCCGCGAGCGCACUUACACGUCGGCUCGUUGGUCUAGGGGUAUGAUUCUCGCUUCGGGUGCGAGAGGUCCCGGGUUCAAAUCCCGGACGAGCCCGGCUUCGGUUUUGGCGCGAAGGGCGAGUGCGGCCGGGGCCUGGCGAGCGGGAACGGCGCCCGGCGUGCAGGCGGAUCCGCGACCCCGCCAAGCGAGCGGACAGCCUGGAACAGGUGCGCUGGGAGCUCUUUUGUUCUGUUCGCACACCCGGCGGCCGUAGGGAGCUCGCGGGGCACAGCCGGUCCAGGCCGGGGUGCGCAGGGCCGCGUGCGGACCCGGGCCAACCCCGCUCAUUCUGGCGCGGCGGCUGGGGCUGUGCGUGACGUGGGGUGGACCCGAGUGGGGGCGGAACCUGUCGGAAGUCGGGUCUCCGCGGCCUCGCAGGCGGUCUGCUUCCCGAGUCGCUCAGUCGCCGUCAGGAGCUCUCGCAGGUUUGUCCCAGCGGCCGGAGGGAGCAAAGCCCCGGCCCAGGGCGCGCUGGGCACCAGAUCCUCGAGUCGCAGAGCAUGUUCUUCAGCUCCUUCCUCGUUAGUAUAGUGCUCGGCGCGCAGCCCUCUGUGGUGGCCAGAGGAUCCCGGCAGACCCCUGAUCCCGGAGAGGGCGGCGAAAAGUUCUAAAACUGAAGGCUAUUGCGUUGGCCGGGAAUCGAACCCGGGUCAACUGCUUGGAAGGCAGCUAUGCUCACCACUAUACCACCAACGCCCGCUGGCGAACCUUGCUCCCGACGCUAGAACUUCCGAACGUGCGCAGGCGCGGGGCCUGCGAGAAGCCCCCUCCGAACUCGAGCGCAGGACGCACGUCAACGAAGCCGCGACCGAGGCGGCAGGUGGCACGCAGCCUACAGAUGAGAAACCGAAGUUCAGAGUACCUAUGUGAAGGGCUUUCGGAGUCACUGGGAGAGCCUCGGUUAUAUCUAAGACUUGUCUGGGGGCCAGGACUGCCGCGACACCGCGUGGGCUUUGUCACCCCCAGAAACAAGUCCCAAACGCACAGAUCGCUUCUCUGUUGGGCGAACCCCACGUGUCGCAAGGUUGAAGAACUGAGCCUUGCGCCAAGCGCGCCUGAGCACAUCUACCCACAGUAGGAGCUUUGAUUCCUAGGUGUUCACUCCCGGCUCUCGAAAGGACUCGGACAGAACCUUCGGGGCCGGUCCUGAGGCUGUGGCUCCGCCCCUUAUCGCUGACGAUCGAUCUGUUCACGAGAUCCGUGCAGCCCCCGGCUCGGGGAGGCCUCGUGGCGCAACGGUAGCGCGUCUGACUCCAGAUCAGAAGGUUGCGUGUUCAAAUCACGUCGGGGUCACGAAAGCUUGCAAUUUUAGAUGUAUGUUGAUAUUUUUCGGAGAAAGAAAGGGGGGAAAAAGAUUUGUUUCUACAUACGAAAAAAAUACAAACCUCAGCGUUCCUGUGAUUUUGCUUUUCCCAAAGUGUAUGGAUUUUCUCCUAAAAUACAAAUGUUGGAACGUCUAUUGCAGCUUUCCAGUAGUGAUCCUUUUAAUCUCAGAUAUUUUAGGUAUCCCAACACAAAUUUUUCAUGGGGAGCUAUGAGUUCUUGUUCAGAAAAUAUACUUGGAACAAUAAAGAUUCUUUAUUGGAA
This is a long non-coding RNA of Lynx canadensis (Canada lynx), 1768 nucleotides long. RefSeq lists it as uncharacterized. Lineage: Eukaryota; Metazoa; Chordata; Mammalia; Carnivora; Felidae. The transcript has 2 exons. The record is from RefSeq and is a predicted model, not a curated record.